RNAcentral lists this ribosomal RNA (552 nucleotides) under Triticum aestivum (bread wheat). Its description in RNAcentral is "partial small subunit ribosomal RNA". Lineage: Eukaryota; Viridiplantae; Streptophyta; Magnoliopsida; Poales; Poaceae. The record is from RNAcentral.
AAACGACGCCUUCCUACAAUUGUAAUCAAGCUAGACUUCCACAAGGCUUUUGACUCCAUGUCUUGGGUCACCCUUGCCGCGAUCUUGCGCGCAAAAGGAUUUCCACCAACCUGGUGCCGUUGGGUUACCUUGGGUCGCUCUUCGUCCACCUCGGCCGUGUUACUUAACGGCAAACCGGGACCUUGGUUUCCAUGUCGGCAAGGCUUGCGGCAAGGGGACACUUUCUCUCCCUAUCUUUUCAUUAUUGUAGCUGAUGUCCUCAAGCGCCUAAUUCUUCAGGCCUCCGCCAACGGCCUUUUCCCCACCCAAUUGCGGACGAUAUUCCUUGCACCGUCCUGCAAUAUGCUGACGACACCCUUAUUGUACUACCCCCAGAUGCAGCGCAACUGCGGACCCUCAAACAAGUCCUGCUUCAGUUCUCCGAGGCCACCGGCCUUACCAUCAACUUUCACAAAAGCACCUUUGCACCUAUUCACGUUGACCCGGAGCUCUCUAACAACCUUACAGCCAUUCUUGGAUGCCCGGUUGCUUCCUUUCCGCAAUCUUACUUAG